UGGGGAAUAUUGGACAAUGGGCGAAAGCCUGAUCCAGCCAUGCCGCGUGUGUGAAGAAGGCCUUAUGGUUGUAAAGCACUUUAAGCGAGGAGGAGGCUCUUUUGGUUAAUACCCAAGAUGAGUGGACGUUACUCGCAGAAUAAGCACCGGCUAACUCUGUGCCAGCAGCCGCGGUAAUACAGAGGGUGCGAGCGUUAAUCGGAUUUACUGGGCGUAAAGCGUGCGUAGGCGGCUUUUUAAGUCGGAUGUGAAAUCCCCGAGCUUAACUUGGGAAUUGCAUUCGAUACUGGGAAGCUAGAGUAUGGGAGAGGAUGGUAGAAUUCCAGGUGUAGCGGAGAAAUGCGUAGAGAUCUGGAGGAAUACCGAUGGCGAAGGCAGCCAUCUGGCCUAAUACUGACGCUGAGGUACGAAAGCAUGGGGAGCAAACAGG
This 430-nucleotide ribosomal RNA is filed under the name Pseudomonadota bacterium. RNAcentral describes it as "Proteobacteria bacterium partial 16S ribosomal RNA". It matches the Rfam family "Bacterial small subunit ribosomal RNA", at positions 355 to 776 of the family's 1533-position model. The record is from RNAcentral. Lineage: Bacteria; Pseudomonadati; Pseudomonadota.